Molecule: ribosomal RNA, 497 nt
Filed under: uncultured bacterium
Lineage: Bacteria
Description: partial 16S ribosomal RNA
Rfam family: Bacterial small subunit ribosomal RNA
Source: RNAcentral
GAUGAACGCUGGCGGCGUGCCUAAUACAUGCAAGUCGAGCGAACAGACGAGGAGCUUGCUCCUCUGACGUUAGCGGCGGACGGGUGAGUAACACGUGGAUAACCUACCUAUAAGACUGGGAUAACUUCGGGAAACCGGCGCUAAUACCGGAUAAUAUAUUGAACCGCAUGGUUCAAUAGUGAAAGACGGUUUUGCUGUCACUUAUAGAUGGAUCCGCGCCGCAUUAGCUAGUUGGUAAGGUAACGGCUUACCAAGGCAACGAUGCGUAGCCGACCUGAGAGGGUGAUCGGCCACACUGGAACUGAGACACGGUCCAGCCUCCUACGGGAGGCAGCAGUAGGGAAUCUUCCGCAAUGGGCGAAAGCCUGACGGAGCAACGCCGCGUGAGUGAUGAAGGUCUUCGGAUCGUAAAACUCUGUUAUUAGGGAAGAACAAAUGUGUAAGUAACUAUGCACGUCUUGACGGUACCUAAUCAGAAAGCCACGGCUAACUACGUG